AUAAUAUAUUUUUUUUAAUGAAAUGAGCCGGCCACGGCAGACGCUGGAAAGUUAGGGUUCGUAGAGGAGAGGGAGCGGCUCGAUAGGAGGAGUGAGAGAGAUUAAAGGCCGAAGUUGACGGAGUGUAAGGUUCUUGUUGAUCUUCUUCCGCGUCCGGAUUGGACUCUAGGGUUUCGUCCUCGUCGGCGCCUUGGACGAGAGAAGAGAGCAGGGAAGGGAGAGGAGGAGAGAAAGAGAGGGAGAGACGGAAGGAGACGGAGUUUCUUGUUGCCUUCCUCUUCUUCCUUGGUGCCUAGGACGAGGAUAGAAAGGAUGCCCGCAUUGUUUGUCACCUCAAUAUUCCAAAGGAAUCUUCUAGUGGAGUAUAUUGUACUAUGGACUGGAUGAUCACAAACAUUUACCAGACAUCAUCUCCACUUAACAGUUAGGUACAUGCGAUAGGAAUUCAUUCCACAUAAUGCCACUAUGAAAAAGAGAGAAUCUUCACCUCCCUCAGGUGGCUUGCCAGAGAAGUCUGUAGCUACAUUUACUCAGAUGGUGGAAUACUACGAAGGUUAUGGUUGUCAUAGGGGGGGAUUCUUCAAAGUUUUGGCGAACAGGUGUCAACAUCUUUAUGUCAGAAAUCAUGUGAUUCAUGUAAACAACCAAUCAUAGUUGUACAACACCUAAAGGAUCUUGAGGGAAAAACUUAUUCGCAGAAGGACAAGUUCUUUCCCAUUUUGACUAAAAGCUCAACCUACAUUCCUUUAGAAGGUCAACAUACUGAAUUUUGGAAUUGAGAAGAUGACAGUUUCUUGGAGGAAGCAAUACCAGAUUCUGGAGGUUUCUCCGUCGCAGACUCGUUGAUGGUAUGCUCUAGCGAUGCGGUGGCUAGGUCUCUCGGCAUCUGUCAGGUAUCCUUUAUCAAAGUACUUUAUCAUUGAUUUCUGGAGACCAAGUGGCUGAAUCCUCAGUUAAAGCAAAAUGCUGUGAUGGUUCACAGAAUAAUCCCAAGGGUAUUAUUGAACGAAUAUAUCCAUUGGGUGCAGCGAUUGGUAAACCAAAAUCUUCUACUGAGUGCAUCUCUCCUGCAAAAAUUGCACAAUCUGAGUGGAAGAGUUUGACAGAAAGUGAUAAUUCCUCCGAGUCUACUGCUAACAGGAUGAGAAACUUUGAGCAGACAAUGCAAACAAACAUCAUGUGAUGGAACAAAAACUUGAGGUGUCACAGGAAACCUUGAAUCUGAGCAAAGCAGAGCUGGCCUUUACAUCUGGUGUCACUGCUAAAAAGUUGGGUAAUUUGGUUCGAUCUUCAGAGACCUCGGAGAGAUCCUCCACCAAUGUUGUUACAAACAACUGAAGUUUCGAAGUUAGCAGUAUCCCAAAAAGUUUCAGUAAAACCAUCAUCUUUGUGCUUGAUCGAAAUUCUUUAUCUCAAAUGCUUCAGGCUGAUAGUAAUGCACCAGAUGCCAUUAAGUGGGGGGAAUGCUGAGAGCCCUCCUGCAUUGAUCUACCACAAAGAUGCUCGUAAAAGCAAGGGAGAGACAAGUGCGUGACUGGUUGGUCUAACGCGUCAAUUAACUAUUCAGUAGAGGAUGAUGCAGAAGAUCUGAAAGCCUUGCUCUUGUACUUUGAUACAUCCUGAACUUCCCUCCACGAGAUGUAUUGUCAUGAUGUAGAUUAAGAAAAUUUCAUCAUUGUUUCUGUUCAAGCCGAGCUCUUGUACUUUUACCUGGAUCGUGCUAAUUCUAGUUUGGUCCUUAAAUUUUUAUUAAAAAUUGUGUUAUGCUGAGCAUAUGCAUUCUUGGAUAAAUUCAUAUCUUUAAAAAUAAGGUAUUAGUGAGUGAUUA
Long non-coding RNA from Zingiber officinale, 1828 nucleotides. RefSeq lists it as uncharacterized. The record is from RefSeq and is a predicted model, not a curated record. The transcript has 7 exons. Lineage: Eukaryota; Viridiplantae; Streptophyta; Magnoliopsida; Zingiberales; Zingiberaceae.